This is a small nucleolar RNA of Laticauda laticaudata (blue-ringed sea krait), 134 nucleotides long. The record is from Ensembl. NCBI's taxonomy places the organism in Eukaryota, Metazoa, Chordata, Lepidosauria, Squamata, Elapidae.
CGCCAUGCUUCCAUGGGACCUGCCAGGGUGGCAGCCUCCCUUCCUACUCAUGGCAGAGCAAUCGUCGCCUUGCUUUUUGGCAUAGCUCCCCUCAUUUCAUUGGGGGGAGACUCUGACUUGGGCAAGUCACAUUC